UUAGAAUAAUCAGGUGAAGCAUUUACAAGAAGUGUAGGAGGAUUAUCCAUCAAACAUACCAUUACCAGAAUUGCAUGUGCUUCCCCUAUUAAGAGAUCUGGGAGUCCACGAAAAGAUACAUGGUUGAAAUUUAUAUUCAAGUUCCUUAAAUUCAUCUAUAAUGGUCCCUACGCGUGGUACAAUCCUGUUAGAGGUAUGGAAUAAUUGAUAAAAGCAUCCUCUUCAAUGAUAACACCACUAUAUUCCUAUGUACUAACAAUCUGAAGUUUCUAUCAAAU
This 278-nucleotide long non-coding RNA is filed under the name Glycine max (soybean). RNAcentral describes it as "long non-coding RNA (GMAX_LNC002378)". Lineage: Eukaryota; Viridiplantae; Streptophyta; Magnoliopsida; Fabales; Fabaceae. The record is from RNAcentral.